Ictidomys tridecemlineatus (thirteen-lined ground squirrel) is the source of this 1606-nucleotide non-coding RNA. The record is from RefSeq and is a predicted model, not a curated record. NCBI's taxonomy places the organism in Eukaryota, Metazoa, Chordata, Mammalia, Rodentia, Sciuridae.
AGGAACAUCUAGCCUGGUUUCUCACUGCCAGCGUGCGCCAGGCCUGGACGGGUGCCUUCAUCUCACUCCACUCCAGGACUCCAAGAGCGAGAGACAGUUGCUGUCCCCCUCCACUUCACACAGGAGGGGACGGGGCACAGACAGGUUGGAUGACCCAACGUCGUGCAGCCGGUGUCGCUGGAACUUGCAGUGGGGAGUCUGACCUGGAGGGUACAACAGGAAGAAACCAAUCAAUAAUGGACUGUGAGCCCAAACAAACCUUUCCACUUUAUAAGCUGAUGACCUCUGGUGUUUUAUUAUAGUGACAGAAAGCUGACCAGCACCUCUUCUAAGAGACUUGGCUUGGUUUGUAACCUGGAGAAAUGCAGACUAUUUCCCAUUCCACACCCAACACACCACAGACCCUGCGGCCUCGACCGUCAGCCUGCGAUCGUCCCCUCCCCACGGAGCUCUGAGAAGCGUUGCCUCGAUGCUCCUUCGACAGAGGAGGAAACUGAGGUCCCAAGAGGCCGAGAACCCCGCCCAAGGGCCCAGAGCUGGAGAGUUCCAAGCUGGGCAGCGGCCAUGGAUCCCGGCCCCGGAGGUGACCUGACCCUCACUUCCUCAGUGGGGACAGUGCCCCUCGGAGCCAUGCCACGCUCUGCACUUGGGAAAGCUGAUGCGGGUGAACAGCGGAGUCAGGGGGGCUUCCCACUGUCCCCCGUGGGCCACCCACUCAGGAUUUUGAAUAUUAAACCUUGACCUUGGCUCUGAGCCGGGAGCAGGGAAGCGCCGUCUGCUCCUGGGGCCCCGCCGCGCCCUCCUGAGCGGGCGUCUCUGCUGCAGCCUGCCCUGUGCCCCGCGGCCUUGGAACCGAGGUUCUGUGUGGGUAGAGGCUGGCGGACAGGGAAAGGCCUUGACAUUGCAGGGUCCUCCAGAACCUGCCCAGACGCAGAGGGAGCCGUGCCCUUGAGGGGACUGGCCAGGGGCCGAUGAGGUCAGGGUUCAGAGGACGCUGCGGAUCCCGGGUGUCGGAGCAGCGGGCAGGCGCCCAGGCAGGAUGGGGAGACGCCGUCCAACCAGCAGCUCCGGUGCUGUGCCCCUGGAAGCCACCUCUUUCUGUUCCUGAACAGACCUCAGAUCUGAUCUCUCUCCAGCCCGUCCAGCCCCGUCCAGCCCCGUCCUGCCGUGGGAGCUGGCCUGGAUCCCUGAGAUGAGCCCACGGAUUUACUUUCAUUUGAUUUCCAUCCAACAAACAUGUAAAGACGGGGACACACGCACUGGGUGACAAGGAGGGCAAGGAGCACCGGCCGCAGUCCCGCCUCGGGGCAAAGGGUCUGCCCCCGGGGCCAGCUGCCUGGGUCUGCAGGUCCACCCCACCAAGGACAACUCAGUGGGCAGCUGUGACCCUCCUCUCCUGACCUCUGCAUAGAGGGAAGCAGCACAGGGGACAGCGUCCCGCUGAGCCAGCUCAUGACCGACCAGGUCAGGGGCAGGCACACGGGGACAGCACGUGGGCUCUGUUGUUAUGUUAUCCACAGUGCCUGGGAAACUGUCCCCGAGCCACCAGCAGGAGCAAGGCACAGGCAGCUAGGAGUCUCGAGGUGGCCCUUCCAAAGCAGCCACA